AAUGCAGUCGAAGGAGAAGCCUCUUCGGAUGGUGGAAACUGGCGCACGGGUGAGUACGCGUGGGUAUCUACCUCGGGGUGGGGAAUAACCGCUGGAAACGGCGGCUAAUACCGCAUACGCCUUCAGAGGGAAAGCUCCGGCGCCCUGAGAGGAGCCCGCGUUGGAUUAGCUUGUUGGUGGGGUAAUGGCCUACCAAGGCGACGAUCUAUAGCUGGUCUGAGAGGAUGAUCAGCCACACUGGGACUGAGACACGGCCCAGACUCCUACGGGAGGCAGCAGUGGGGAAUAUUGGACAAUGGGCGCAAGCCUGAUCCAGCCAUGCCGCGUGAGUGAAGAAGGCCUUAGGGUUGUAAGCUCUUUACCUGCGAAGAUGAUGACGGUAGCAGGAGAAGAAGCCCGGCUAACUCGUGCCAGCAGCCGCGGUAAUCCGGAGGGGGUUAGCGUUGAA
Molecule: ribosomal RNA, 448 nt
Filed under: uncultured Alphaproteobacteria bacterium
Lineage: Bacteria; Pseudomonadati; Pseudomonadota; Alphaproteobacteria
Description: bacterial SSU rRNA
Rfam family: Bacterial small subunit ribosomal RNA
Source: RNAcentral